Long non-coding RNA from Echinops telfairi (small Madagascar hedgehog), 807 nucleotides. RefSeq lists it as uncharacterized. Lineage: Eukaryota; Metazoa; Chordata; Mammalia; Afrosoricida; Tenrecidae. The transcript has 4 exons. The record is from RefSeq and is a predicted model, not a curated record.
UGCCAUGAAUAUCUUUGCUUUUUUGUUUUUUUGGUUCACGGCAUCCAAGAUUCGUGUCUCUCCCAACUCCACAGCACCUCCCUACAGAAUCAAAGCAUCUUUUCAAACUUGCAGUUCCUAACAGGGAUGGAACAAUCAGUAAACAAGGAGGCAAAUAAUGAAGGGGCCAGGGAUGGAGGCCAGUGCUCUGAGGGUUAUCUCCCAGCCUCAGAUGCUGGAUAAGUCGAAGGAGGCAGAAUCGCUUUUGGAUGACAUUCAGGUCGGAGUGAUUAUUUGGAAGAGAAAAAGCCUGCCUGUUCUUUCUAAGGUCGAUGACUGCCCCCCUGACACUGCCCAUGCAUUGAUGAAUUCUUCGAAACCUGACUUAAACAAAGGAGGCACUUGGGGCCCCCACCACACCUAAAGCCACGCUUUGAAGGAUCUGCCAAGCUCACUUUUAAUCAUGAGAAAGAAAUUACCCACACGGAGUCAGCAGAAAAUGAGAAAGGAGAGCUCGUGCUGCGAAUAAUUCCAGCAAGUGCCAAGGGGCUAGUUGAGGAAUGGCUUCAUGAGAUGUUAGUCUAAAUAUUCUUGGAUCCAAGCAGCAAGCACCAUUCAGCAAAGAAAAAAGACUUCGUCAAGAUUAUUUCAAAUGUGACAUAAAUACCUAGGUUGGGCCAGUAGUUUAUUUUUUUUCAAUUGAAUGGAUUUUAAUGUCAACUCUUGGCCUGUAUUGUACUAUUUUCUGAAUGUUUUCUUUUUGCUAGAACUGUCUUAACACUGGCUGUUGACCUAUAUUCAUAUUUACUGUUUCUCUGUAUUAUUUUC